ACCACACACCCCAGGGCAAGCAAGGGCCCCACUCCUGAGCCUACCUCUGAUCCUACAGUUCCAAGAGACAGAAGCCAACCUUGCCCCUCCCUUCUGGACCCCAGAGUGCCCUGUGGGCACUAUUACUGCUAACGUUUGAGUGCCAGCUCUGUGCCGGGUGCCAUUCUGGGCAGUCGCACCAGCUACCACUACCACCUGUAGCAGUCCUGCCCCCGUUCACAGAAGACAUUCAGGAGCCCAGCCUGUGGGGGCAGUUCACAUCUGGGAUCUCAAGUCCUAACACAACCAAGCAAUCCUCGCUUUACAGAUGAUGAAAUUGAGCCGCC
RNAcentral lists this long non-coding RNA (326 nucleotides) under Homo sapiens (human). RNAcentral's name for it is "LHRI_LNC1465.1". The record is from RNAcentral. Lineage: Eukaryota; Metazoa; Chordata; Mammalia; Primates; Hominidae.